UACGUAGGGGCGAGCGUUGUCCGGAAUGAUUGGGCGUAAAGGGCGCGCAGGCGGCCUGUCAAGUCAGUAGUGGAAGUCCAUUUUUUCAAGGAUGGAAGUGCUAUAGAAACUGAUGGGCUUGAGUGCAGGAGAGGUUAUCGGAAUUCCCGGUGUACGGUGAAAUGCGUAGAGAUCGGGAGGAACACCAGUGGCGAAGGCGGGUAACUGGACUGCAACUGACGCUGAGGCACGAAAGUGUGGGGAGCAAACAGGAUUAGAUACCCCCGUAGU
RNAcentral lists this ribosomal RNA (270 nucleotides) under uncultured prokaryote. RNAcentral's name for it is "partial 16S ribosomal RNA". It matches the Rfam family "Bacterial small subunit ribosomal RNA", at positions 524 to 794 of the family's 1533-position model. The record is from RNAcentral.